CCCAAAGUGCUGGAAUUACAGACAUGAGCCACCACGCCUGGCUAGUUUGAGGAGUAUUUCAAAAGGAAAUGCAGUGGUAUUUAUAAUAAAAAAAAAAAUUUAAAGGAAAUAAGACCCGAUUAAUAUGUGAAAAACAAUAAUAUAUAAAUACAUGGAUUGCAGCAGGCACUGACAGGGUUGUAGUUGUUUAUGCGCCUUCCUGACGUUCAUGAACGUCACCUCCUUGGAUGCUCAUGUCACUUCUAUGAGGAACAGGAAGCUCUGGGCACCCAGCUGGUGAGGGCAAGAGUCAUGUGUGCCCCACAUGACACCACACUGCUAACUUCCAUCUCACCGGUCCCCAGGCUGUCUGUGCUCCUGAGGGGACUCUGGGGCAUGGUGACACUCCCCAGUGGGCAAGGGAGCUGAGGUCACAGUCUGCUUUCAACACUCAUACCUGAGUCACUGCCUGGGCCUGAGUAGGGGAAAUCCAGCCCCUGCCUGCUGCAGCCACAUGGCCUGGCUCCCCCAGCUCUGGGGGAUGUCACUGUUCUGUGGGUAUCAAGCUGUGUGACGGUGAAGCCAGGUGCCCUCUCCCUACAGCCGCCCUUGGCCCACGGAGCCUGCCUGCUGGGAUGCGGAGGAGGGGGUCCCAGCCCCUCCUGUCCCAUGUCAGGUCUGUAGCACACAGACUGCCUGCCCAGGGUCCUCAGAUCAGCUGUCUUCGCUCUGACCUGCAGGUCUCGGCUCCUGCAUACUGCAAGCUGGGUGCCUUCCUUCUACAGAACCCAGGCGCCCUUGCAAGGAAACCAUGGAAUUUCCCCAGCAAGGAGUCUGCGGCAACUCCAGGCCACAGGAAGGUCACAAAUGGUCAGACAAGGAAUGAAUUCCAGGGAGGAAGCACCAGCCCUGCCCAUGCUGUCUGGGGCCCCUACCAAGGCGACAGGAAAGCUCCACAAACAGAACCCGGAGCGUCCAGGGAGCGUCUGGGCUGCAGUGGGUUCAUAUUGUCUAUGCAGCAUUUCCUAGCACUUUGGGAGGCCAAGGCGUGUGAAUCACGAGCUCAGGAAAUCAAGACCAUCCUGGCUAACACGGUAAGACCCCAUCUCUACUAA
RNAcentral lists this long non-coding RNA (1094 nucleotides) under Macaca mulatta (Rhesus monkey). RNAcentral describes it as "lncRNA (ENSMMUG00000050724.1)". Lineage: Eukaryota; Metazoa; Chordata; Mammalia; Primates; Cercopithecidae. The record is from RNAcentral.